This is a long non-coding RNA of Pomacea canaliculata, 1581 nucleotides long. RefSeq lists it as uncharacterized. The transcript is spliced from 2 exons. Lineage: Eukaryota; Metazoa; Mollusca; Gastropoda; Architaenioglossa; Ampullariidae. The record is from RefSeq and is a predicted model, not a curated record.
CUCUCCCCUGGUAUAACAGACAACAAAUAAUUAGAAUUAACAGAUCUAUGAAGCACAUCAGUCGCCUGCAGACUUCACAGAAGUUUCCGUCGGGGCUCGAAGUGUUGUGCACUCUUAUUUAGGACUCUUGUUAAACAAACCUCAUUUUCUCUACAAACAAUGCAGUGUUCUAGUAAUAAAAAGGAAUGUUAUAUUUCUAUGAUUGAAAAAAGAACUUCCAAAUAUGAGGAAAAGGAUGAUCUUUCGGACAUCGUUCUGAUAGUAGAGGACAAGAAGCUUCACGUCAAUAAAGCCUUGUUGAUGAUACAUUCCAAUGUGUUUAAGACAAUGUUCACCGGAUCCUUCAUUGAAAAGGAUUUAUCAGAGAUUCCACUUCCAGGAAAGAAAGUGAAUUUAAUGGUGGAGCUAUUGGACCAUAUCCAUCCCGGAGACUCUACUGGCAACUUUAACGAUGAAACUCUACGUGAACUACUUCAACUCGCCGAUGAGUAUGGUGUCCAGCAGGUCUUUCACAACUGCCGAGCAUACUUCGACAGACGCAUAAAUUGCAAGAAUCAAGACAUGAAGAUUAGUGAAAUUUUACUCUUCCUUGGGAUAGUCGAAGAGUGGAGCAACGAAUACGAUCAACUAAGUUCGUUCAGAUCUUAUUUAAUUAGAAAGGCAAGUAGAAUACAAAUGUGUCUUUUGAAAAUUAACAAAUAUUAUUCUUCUCUACCUGCUACAACUCAAAGAGACAUCCUCAUGCGUCAUCUUGAUAGAGUCGAAAGAAGUUAAGAAGUAUAAGACCUAGAGUUAAACAAUUGGCUAGUAGGAUUGAAACUACUGAUGGCUUUUCAUUGUAAUCCUUUGUGAUGAGCUUUUGUGUCAGACACAUCUUAUAAACACCCACAUAAGGUUUUCUGUGAAACAUUUAGGACGAUUCAGAGUUCUGUGAGUCCAUCUCAGGAUUGAUGACAAUUACUUUUGUAACAAGAUCAUAACAUAUAUCGAUCGAUUAUCAUUAAUAUUCAUCAAUUGGAGUAGUUCACGCUGUUUAUAUGUGAGAUUAGUUCGAUGUUACACGGGGUCCAAUUAAUCUCAUUAGACUUCAUGCCAGCAGUCUACACAAAAGUUAUAUCGGACAUUCCUAUAAUAAACGAUAGCACAUGUUGGACAAUAUUUUAUAUUAACUGAAACUAUUUUGAUAGUAAAUAUAUUUUGAAAUUUUUAUCUAGAGAUUCUGUGUAUCAUUAGUUUAUAGAUAAACAGAUUUUGCUCCAAGGAACUUACUCUUGCACAGCACACUACAGUUAGUAACUGAAUUUCUAGCCAAAUACUUUUUGUUAUUAAUAUUUUUCCCAAACUGUCUGCUACUCAGUAUUUAGCAACAUUGAAUGCUCAAAUUGCCAACUAUUAUGUUGCACUAACACUAAAUCUUACGGAAGACAUCGUUUAUAUGAGUAGUUUGUGUAGUGGAAGUGAUCAAAGCUAUGUGUGACUAUGUCUGAGAGUAAUAUACCGCAAGUAACACAUAAGUAAGUUUACAUUUGUUUUCAUUCUCAUCUAUUCUAAUAGCAAAUAAAGGUGUCUACUUAACUUGCA